UUUUUAUGCUUUCUAGUUUUCUUCCCCCAUGAGUUUUGAAUCCCUUCAACCUUUCUUAAUGUUUCUUCACCACUUAACGGCUUAGAAGGAAAGUCUCUUUCUGGUUUACCAUCAAAAGCCUUUGUUAAAUCUCGAAACAAGUGAGAUUCUGGGAGAUAUCGCCUAUGGCGCAUGUACACAUUUUUCUUCCCAUUCUUAAGUCUACAGGACUGUGUAUCUUCCCCACAUAUAGGACAUGCAAAAUAUCCUUUAACUGAGCAUCCAAACAAGUUCCCAUAAGCAGGAAAAUCACUAAUUGUCCACAACAAGACAGCUCGUAGAGUAAAUAAUUCUUGUCUAUAUGCAUCAUAAAUUUGGACACCAACUUCCCACAAAGUUUUCAAGUCAUCAAUCAGUGGUGACAAAUAGACAUCAAUAUCGUUACCGGGCUGUCGUGGACCAAAUAUUAACAUAGUCAACAUCAUGAAUUUUCUUUUCAUGCAUAACCAAGGAGGAAGAUUAUAAGUAAUCAUAACAAUUGGCCAACAACUAUACGAACUGCGAAAGUUUUUAUGGGGAUUUAUCCCAUCUGCAUAAAUAGCCAGCCGAAGAUUUCUUUCUUCUGCAGCGAAAUCUGACCAUUUUUGGUCCACUAGCCUCCAUGACGGUGAGUCAGCUGGGUGACAUAGUUUGCCAUCAAUCACCCUUUCAUUGACAUGCCAAAUUAAGUCUUUUGCAGUUCGAGGAGAUUGAAACAUCCUUUUAAACCUUGGUAUAGGAGGAAAAUACCAUAAGAUUUUAGCAGGAAUUCCCUUACUUUUCUUGGGACUCUUCCAUCUUGACAUUCCACAAGUGGGACAUGCAGAUAAAUCCUUAUAUUCUUUUCUAUAUAGGAUGCAAUCGUUGGGACAUGCAUGUAUUUUUUCAUAUUCUAAGCCUAAUGCAACCAUAAUCUUCUUUGCUUCAUAUACGGAUAAAGGUAUUUCAUUUUUAUUAGGAAGCAUAUCUGAUAAACAACUUAGUAAAUCUGAAAAACUUUUGUCUGACCAUCCAUUUCUUCCUUUAAUGUUGUAAAGCCUUAUUAAGGCAGAUAACUUAGUGAAUUUCACACAGCCAGGAAACAAAUGUUUUUCAUCAUCUUUAAGUAGAGUUUCGAAAGACUUGGGGUUACUAUUACAAGUGUCAAAUGCAUCAUUAACUAUUUCUACUGUAUCAGCAGCUUCAUCAUCUUGUUGACUGCCAUCAAAUGAAGCUUUUACAUUUGAUGGUCGUCUACUAGAAGCUCCUUCUCCAUGCCAAGUCCAUGUCUGAUAGCUUUGGUCAAUACCUUUCCAAUAAAGAUGAUUUCUUAUCUCAGCAGGUACAUGAAAGACCAAAUUACCACAUGCUUGGCAUGGACAUCUUAAAAGUUCAGGAUUACUAGCAUGAAGUAUUGCAAACUUGAGAAACUCAUUUACCCCACUUUCAUAUUCUAUAGACGUUCUAUCCAUCAACAUCCAAGAUUUAUCCAUAUUUAAACUACUAACUUUCCUGCAAAUGCAUCACAUAAUAUUCAUUUAGUUUUAUUAAUAUUAAAAAAUGAUAUUGUUUGCAACCACAAGAACAACUGAUAAAAUUAUAUAAUUAACCCCAAAAAAUAAGGCAAUGAGAUCACAAUUUUACUAAUUAAGAAUGAAAGUGAAAAUUAUUUGUGCGUUCUUUGUUUGUUGAACGAGAAUAGAUAUAAGACGUAGUAUCAAUAA
This 1721-nucleotide long non-coding RNA is filed under the name Citrus sinensis (sweet orange). RNAcentral describes it as "long non-coding RNA (CSIN_LNC003837)". Lineage: Eukaryota; Viridiplantae; Streptophyta; Magnoliopsida; Sapindales; Rutaceae. The record is from RNAcentral.